AGCGAACGCUGGCGGCAGGCUUAACACAUGCAAGUCGAGCGGGCAUCCAUGAGGUGUCAGCGGCUGACGGGUGCGUAACGCGUGGGAACGUGCCCUUCGUUUCGGUCUAACUCUGGGAAACUUGAGCUAAUACCGGAUACGUGCGAGAGCAGAAUGGUUUAUAUGCCGAAGGAUCGGCCAGCGUCUGAUUAGCUAGUUGGUGAGGUUAUGGCUCACCAAGGCGACGAUCAGUAGCUGGUCUGAGAGGAUGAUCAGCGACACUUGGACUGGGACACGGCCCAGACUCCUACGGGAGGCAGCAGUGGGGAAUAUUGGACAAUGGGGGCAACCCUGAUCCAGCCAUGCCGCGUGAGUGAUGACGGCCUGAGGGUUGUAAAGCUCUUUUCUCCGGGACGAUAAUGACGGUACCGGAGGAAUAAGCCCCGGCUAACUUCGUG
RNAcentral lists this ribosomal RNA (437 nucleotides) under uncultured bacterium. RNAcentral's name for it is "partial 16S ribosomal RNA". It matches the Rfam family "Bacterial small subunit ribosomal RNA", at positions 29 to 507 of the family's 1533-position model. The record is from RNAcentral.